CUGUAAUAGAAAACAAUAAAUGUACUAUGAAUUUAUGCAAAAACCAGAUUCAAGUAGUCAGUUCUAUUAAACAUUUGGUGAAUUAAUAUAUCAGACUGGUAUCUUCAUACAUACAAUUUAUGCAAAUAUGACUUUGUUUAAACGCUUAUUGCCUCUUAUUAACCAAAUUAUGUUAGAAACAAAGUAAGAGAUAAUAUUUGUGUGAAAAGAACUCUCCGUUGACCAUUUCAGGCAUAAAUUGUGAACUUUUAAAGAUAAAUAGGCAUACAGUAAGAUGUGGACUGGAGACAGAGGCAGGAUUGUAUUCUUCAUAUAAUCUUGAAUGCUGUAAUAAUUAACUACUAAAUUUUUCAUUUAUAGUAUUCUGAAAUGCUUUCAAUAUGUUAUCAAAUAGUUUCAUACAUGUUCUAGGCAUUUCAUGUCAGAAAACAUGUACAUAGGGUAAGCUGGUAUUAAUUUAAGUCUUGUUUUUAAAUUCUUAUUAAAUUGAAACAGGAGUGGGGGUAAAAAUAUACUGUAAAAGAAAAUGAAGGAUAGAGCAUUUGCAGUGAUUUCUUUUAUUCUAUGAUUCUGUUAAAUAACAAUUGUUGUGAAAAAAACAUGUUUGUUUGUUUGCGUUCUGGUUCCCAGAUAUAAUCUCUAUGUUUCGGCAUAAAGACAUAACUUUGGAAUGUUACCGUGAUGAAUAACAUUAAUAGUGGCCGCCUUGAAAUCUGAAGAAGAUGCAAAGUGAAGGGAGGGGUAGUACAGAAUUUUAGUAUAAGUUUAAAAUCUUAGAUUUUCGGGGCGUAUAAAUGUUGGAAAUAUGCUGCACAUCCCAUUUUUUUUACCUUUAAAGAAAAUAGAUGUGUAUAUGAGCUUUCCAUUCUAGGAUAUAUUUUCAACGAAACUUCAUAGUAAAAGAGGUACAGUUUUAGCCGUAACAGGAGUUCUUUUGGGAAAUUGCAUUGUCUAUAUUUACAGAAAUGCAACCUAUAGACAUAUCUGGAGGAAGAAAAAAUGACACAUUUUAUUGAAUUAAUGAAAUAGUAGUGCAUACAUAAAUGCUACCGAUUUAUAAUUUUCUAUAAUUUUCUAUGCAAAGAAUUGUACCUCGCCAUUGUUUCAUACAUGUAACAGUGAAUUUGUAAAAUCAUUGAUUUUGUAAAAUCCCUGGAAUGUUUAGUGAUUUUGCAAAAUCACUUUUAAUGUCAGUGAUUUUUUUAAUAUACCUGAAAUUGCUAGUGAUUUUAUAAAAUCACUGGACAUAUUUCUAGGGUUUUUGUAAAAUCCCUGAUUACAGGUUUAAACUUAAUAUAUGUAUAACAGUUUUUUUUUCUUAAUAUCACUAACAAUAGUGAGAAGAGGGCGUCUAACGACCGUCGGUAAACACCUCUUAACUAUCAAACAUUUUCCGAAACCUAGACCCAUAUGAGCAAGAUCAACUUUAUAUUGAUAUUUAUAUACGUUGAUGAACAGACCAAUGCUUUAAAAAUAUAUUUUUUUAUAAUAAACACUUCUAGGUAAAACUAUUCUACAGGAAUAAAGAAGAAAAGGCAUAUGACUUGAUAUUAUUACUACAGUUUACUUAUUUUGCAUGAUAAGUUUGAGUGACAUCUACUGUGUUUUACGAUUUUUGUUUUCACAGUCUCCACUUUGAAGAACUUCGAACCUACAUUAAACAAAUAUUUACCUUUAAUUUGAUUUAAAUCUAAAGAGUGGAAGAAGUGUAGAAACUUGUUUAAAGUUUUAUCACUUUGCAAGUACAAAACAAAGUUCAUGUGUUUGUUCAUUUUUAUUACUAUUAGAUUGUUGUAUGUGGAUCCAGUUUUAUAAAACUAAAUAAAUACAUUUAAAAAUAAUAAUAAUGCAUUUGAAUAUUCGCAUAAAACAAAAUGAUUGGUUAUUGUUAUGUAAAUUCCAAAGUUAAAUUGUAUAUAUGUCGAGAAGGUUUGAUACGUUUUUUUGUGAUCUGAUGGUCAGUAAUAAUGUCUUAAAGGAAACUCCAAUCAAUACAAUACGUAUUUUUUAUCGCAUCGAUCUUUCAGCUAUACAAUAUGAAUGCGUAUAAUCAUAUAGAAAAACAAUAAUUGUUUUUAAGUAUCUUGAUCAAUUUCGAGUCUGAAGUUUAUUGAACGGGGGAGAGCACUCAUCCAAAAUGAUUAUUGAAUAAAAUGAUUCACUAAGUGUGAAAUAGAUCACAACUCAUGGUUUAGAUCGACGUAAGUAAGUGAUUUUUGUAAUAACUACAAUGAAUAUAGAAAUAGUUUGUUUAUUUAAUCAUUUUGGUAAUUGAAAGUUCAUUCUAUGCUGAACGAAAAUAUUAUAUUCCAGCUCAUCCCUUUCGAAAUUAUAUUCAAAAUGUCAUAUUGUUACACAUACAUUAAUUGAACAAUCAACAUUUCGUAUAACAUUGAAGUAAAUAUACUAAGAAUCUCAAAUACGGAAGAUUAAUUAACGUAACUUUUAUUACGUAUUAAAAAGUUGCUGCAUGGUAAAAGUGGGUCAUGAUGUACGGAUUAAAACGCGUGAAUAUAGUGUGUGUGUGUGUGUGUAUUAUAGGAAAUACUGAAAGAGGAAUUAUGGUGAUUUUGUCUCGCCUCGAUUAAUUCGAAAAAGCGAGACAAAGGCGUGCUGUUCCCAGACCUGGUGGAAACAUCAUCAAUAUGCUAGUUUUUAUUAGGAGAGUUCUAAGGAAAGUACUUGUGAUAGGUCAAUGAUAUUUGUUAUGUUGUUGAACUAGCAUUAGCAAAUAUCAAUUCCCAGAACACAAUUGGUCCUAGCCUUCUCGGCUAUGGUAUAUUGAAGUUAAAACUUAGUUUAUAUGUGUAUGUUGUUAUGUCAGUUCAAUAGGAACCACUAGUGAAAUGUCCUAGCAUGAGGAUGUGUAAACGUUGGCUUAUCUUAUUUCAAUGACAAUUACUUGGUCCCUCAACCUCAUUUAUGAUGCAUUGCAUGUGAAUCUUAUGCAUAAUUUACAUGUUAAAGUUUAUGAUUAGGUCAGUAAAAGAUCUUCACUAUAUUGAGUCAAUAUCAGUGACAAGUCCCAUGUCAAUGGAAAUGUUAUGUCCCGCUCAUCUUUAUGGUUCAUUGACUUUGAAAUUUUUGCAUAUUUUACAUAUCUUAAUUUGUGUUUCGGUUAAUUUAAAAUGAACCGAUUAAGUCAAUGGUAUUUAAUAUUCAGUGUUGUCAACAUGUGUAGUUUUUAUUUCGGUUGAGGUAAUUUGACACUGCACCUUCAGUCAUGGUUCAUUGACUUUGAAUGCAUAGUUUUACAUGUUAACAUUUUGCCAUUUCAAUUGCAACAUUUGCAUUAUAUUACCAACAUUCCAUUUGAGUUCGAGUUUGUUUUAUAUUUUUUUUUAACAUAAAGACGAGACGUAUCUUGGAUAACUGUUUUUAUUUAUCCUUUUUUAUGGAGAAGUGUUGAUGAAAUAUUUGAAGUAAAAAAGAAAAUUAUACUUAAAUGCUAUAUUUAAAUGGAAGCCAAUGUUAUCUGUUAUAUUGUGUUUUAUUUACGAUGAAAUUCAGCGCAUGCAUAUGUCGUUAUUAUCUUAUGUAUUUGAUAAAGAAGCUUUUAGUUUUUGGUCACAAUGUAUAUGGUGCUUUUGGUGCCUUUUAAGAUUUUACGCUAACCAAUACAUAUGGUUUACGCUUCCAUUUAUUGAAGAAGAUUGUAUGUUGAUGUUUAACAUAAUUUUUGUGUGAUAAUUAUACUCAAACUCUUGAAAAAUACAUUCUUUAUUCAUGUCUGAAUCAUUGAAAUACAAAUAUUCUCUUACUGCAUUUUCUGUUCAGAAAAUAAAUGAAAAUCUUCAAAUAAAACGUUCCAUUUCUUACUAGAUGACCACGUGCAAAUCAGCAAUAUUUUAGGCCAAUUUUUUUCAAAACUGGACAGGUACAUUAGAGAUCCUUGAUUUAACAUACAAACUCAAACGUUUUAAUCAUUCAAACAACUAAUUUGAAACAGUUUAUUUUUUUAAACAAAAUCAUUUCUAAACAGUAAAAUCAUAAGCCGUGCUCACAGUACCACAUAUAUAAAGGCAUACAUAUACAAUAGUUAUCAAAGGUACCAGGCUUAUAAUUUGUAUACGCCUAACGCGCGUUUCGUCUACAUAAGACUCAUCAGUGACGCUCAGAUCAAAAUAGUUGAAAAGAACAUGUUAUUCGAAAAACAAUAUAUUUCAAAGAAUAGAAUGUAAGUUUAUUCCAUCACAAUCCUGAUCAUGUUUAAGUUGUAUCUUCCAGGGAUAUUAUCCUGUAUGAAAAAGGAAACUUGUUGUAAGUUUUACUUUGUAGAACUAUCAACAUUUACGAUGUAUUUUCUAUACAAUAUAGCAAAGACUAAUAUUAAACAGAUGACAUACACAAAGUCAAAGUCAAAGUCAGCAUUAGUUUGCCAUUUAUUUCAAUUGAACAGUGAAUUCUUAAUUCCGACAAUUAUCGAAAUCUGACCAUAUUACCAAUACACUUUGGUAUGGUCAUGACAUUAUAGACAAAAUUUAACAACACAAUCUUGAAAAUGAAACAGAAACACUCUGAUUUGAUUUCGGAGAAUUGGAAACGCUGAUCAUGAUUAAAUACAUGAUCGUUUUACUUUAGUGCUGACCUCUUGUUUGAUAUUAUGAAAACUAAUCGUCUUUAGGCAUUAUAAAUGCAAUUUCAAUGUGUAGUGUAAAUCAUUCUGCAAUAGAAGUUACAGUAAUUACUUUUAUUAUUUAUCUAUAUUGUUUUCUGUGAUGCCUGUCAAAAUAGAAAAUUAUAUCUAUACAAAGAAACAUGUAUGAAACUGACAAAUUUCAGACACACAUUUUGAUAAUUAAUCAGCAUAACAACAAUCAUUAUUUUUUUAACAAAUUUUCAUUUCAGUAGAAUAAAUGAAAAACAAAGUGAUGUACACAAAAGCUGAUGAAUUGAAAGGAUUGUAUGAUGACAAUCUGAUUAAAAACCAUAAAUUAUAUUUUCCCUAAUCAUGCUAAUUAUUUCAAUGAUAAAUUAUAGUUCUAAUUGAUUUCAACAUCUCAUGUGCAUUCCCAUGCAAGUUUAAUAAAGUCAGGACCGUCAUUAGUAUGACUGAAUGCACAGUGCCAUGUAUGCCAUAUUUUCAACUAGUUUCUUUCUUUUUGUGUGUAAUACGUUAUCUAAUGAAAGAGGCAUCUAUGGAAUUAGGGUUUCAUGUACAACCCGAGAGAUCUGAAGAUUCAUUCUCAAAAUAUACUUAUUAGCAAUGGCAAGUCUUUGCUUACAACAUGAAAUUUGAAUCAUGACAUGUACCACAUUUUUAGUUCAUUUAUAUGUUUUGGAAUUUAGUAUGGCGUCCAUUUUCACUGAACUAGUACACAUUUUUUUUAGGGGGGCAGCUGGGGCCCGCUUCCGGUUGGGGGAUUUUCUCGCUGCGUUGAAGACCGAUUGGUGGCCUUCGGCUGUUUUCUGCUCUUUGGUCGGGUUGUUGUCUCUUUGGCAUAUUCCCCAUUUCCAUUCUUAACGUUACCAUAGUUGUUUUAGAGGGAGGUGCGGUCAGGGUGAUCGGUCUUUUUUAAAGUUCAUCUCAUUACGUUGCCGUAUUGAUGGGCACCCUUUUGAAAAAUAUUGGACUCGUUUCUAUGCAUCGAUAUAAUUUUAGUCAAUGUUAAAUACUGAUAUAUUCAGUAAAAAAAUUAUGAUGUGAAUGAGAUAUUUAUACAUUUAAGUAAUGCUUUAUUUUAGAGACUGUGAAGUCUGUGGGAGUAGAAUAUGGUUCGAUUACAAAGAGGAGGAGCUACUGAAAUAAGAUGUAAUUUAUUUCAACGAUAACAUUUUAAAGUUUUUGUUUUAGCUAGAAAACAGUGGAAUACUAAAAAAAGACAACUCUGAUUUCAAAACACUUGAGUUAACUUUUCGGGAAAUAUCUACACUCGAUCAUUUUGAUUAACAGUACACUUUGAAGUCUUUUUAAAGUCAGAAUGUUCUUAUGUAGUGCAUUUAUUAUUUUCAAAACCUUCAUUUGUUGUAAGAUGUCCCUAGAGGUUAGAUCUUUUUCGAAGAAUACAUUAAGCUUAUUUCAACAUGUUAUAUUGUGAAUAAACAUAUACAAUCUGG
Mytilus californianus (California mussel) is the source of this 6057-nucleotide long non-coding RNA. RefSeq lists it as uncharacterized. The record is from RefSeq and is a predicted model, not a curated record. The transcript is spliced from 2 exons. NCBI's taxonomy places the organism in Eukaryota, Metazoa, Mollusca, Bivalvia, Mytilida, Mytilidae.